GUAGAUGUAGUUUUAAUUAAAACGCCAGAUUGUGAUUCUGGAGUUGGGGGCUGAUUUCCCCCCAUCCACC
This 70-nucleotide transfer RNA is filed under the name Ophidion marginatum (striped cusk-eel). RNAcentral describes it as "tRNA-His". It matches the Rfam family "tRNA". From Rfam's summary of the family: Transfer RNA (tRNA) molecules are approximately 80 nucleotides in length. Lineage: Eukaryota; Metazoa; Chordata; Actinopteri; Ophidiiformes; Ophidiidae. The record is from RNAcentral.